UGUAAGAGUGUUUGAAUUCACUUUUUAAAAAUAAUUUAUAAAUUAAAAGCUAAAAGUCUUGAGAGUAUAUAAUUUUUUAUUUCUAGCUUAUUUUUGUGCUCUUUUGAUCUAAAAGUAAGUGUAAUAGAUAAGCCUAAAAAAAAGAGUUAAAAUAACUCAAGGCAAAGACCGUAGUGACCCUGAUGAGAAGCUAAAUUGGGUAGAAACGGAGUAAAUGUAGGUGCGUACAUUGGAGAGAGAUGACAAGGGGAAAGCAAAAGAUAGAGGCCCAGCGGAAAAAUGCUGAGAAAAAUCAGAAAGGCAAAGGAUCUCAACUUGAAGCCCGUGCUGUUGGCCUCAAAGUCAUCUGUCCCAUUUGUAAGGCGCAGCUAGCAAAUCAAAACCAACUUGUUGAUCACUAUGGCUCCAAGCAUCCAAAGGAAAAGCCUCCAAGUAACUCGGAAUAACAUGUCCUGUUUCUUGGGAAAUUGCUUGCUUUUGUUCUCAAACCUUUGAAUUAGUAAAUACUCUGUUAAAAAAGCAGAGUCCAAGCUGAUGGUGGUUGCUUUGUGAAAUAGAAUGAACAUUAUGUGAAUACUGUAAACUAGAAAACAAUAAAAGUUCAAACACUGAUGUUUUGUUUC
Molecule: long non-coding RNA, 623 nt
Organism: Lycium barbarum (goji berry)
Lineage: Eukaryota; Viridiplantae; Streptophyta; Magnoliopsida; Solanales; Solanaceae
Exons: 2
Source: RefSeq, a predicted model, not a curated record